This is a long non-coding RNA of Zea mays, 538 nucleotides long. RefSeq lists it as uncharacterized. The record is from RefSeq and is a predicted model, not a curated record. The annotation marks the transcript as partial. NCBI's taxonomy places the organism in Eukaryota, Viridiplantae, Streptophyta, Magnoliopsida, Poales, Poaceae. The transcript is spliced from 3 exons.
GGACUACAGCCAGCAGCGAUCGUCGCAGGAGCUUGUGGCCAAGGAUUUGCACGGAACCGAGUGGAGGUUCCGCCACAUUUAUCGAGGGCAGCCCCACAGACACCUUUUAACCACUGGAUGGAGUGCCUUUGUCAACAAGAAGCUUGUCUCAAGGGACGCCGUACUAUUUUUGAGGGGUGAUAAUGGGGAGCUAAGACUUGGAGUGCGCCGUGCAGCUCAGCUUAAAAAUGGAUCUGCUUUUCCAGCUCUUUAUAACCAGUGCUCAAAUCUUGGUUCACUACCUAAUGUUGCACAUGCUGUGGCCACCAAAAGUGUGUUCCACAUCUACUACAACCCCAGGUGAUGAUGAAUAUAGCGGUUUCACUUUAAUGCUUUUGCAUGUUCAAUUGUUCAUGUUGUUGGCACUCUUUUAGAUGAUGUGAACUGAAAUGUGCUUAUUAACUACUCUUUCAAUUGACGGGGAUUUGAAAUUGUGUCAUUGUGUGUGAUAUCAUUUCCUGAGUUGUUUCGAGCUAUGUAAUUCAUGAUUCUUACUGCA